This 338-nucleotide unclassified non-coding RNA is filed under the name soil metagenome. RNAcentral's name for it is "partial contains 5.8S ribosomal RNA, internal transcribed spacer 2, and large subunit ribosomal RNA". The stretch from base 2 to 120 matches the Rfam family "5.8S ribosomal RNA", at positions 36 to 154 of the family's 154-position model. The record is from RNAcentral.
UAUGAAGAACGUAGUGAAAUGCGAUAAGUAAUGUGAAUUGCAGAAUUCAGUGAAUCAUCGAAUCUUUGAACGCACAUUGCGCCCGGUAGUAUUCUGCCGGGCAUGCCUGUUCGAGCGUCAUUUCAACCAUCAAGCCCCAGCGCUUGUGUUGGGGGCCUGCGGCUGCCGCAGCCCCCUAAAAGCAGUGGCGGGCUCGCUAUCACACCGAGUGCAGUAGUUCAUCUUCUCUCCGGUCUUGUGAGGCGGGUUCCGGCCGUGAAACACCCCACUACAUUCAAGGUUGACCUCGGAUCAGGUAGGAAUACCCGCUGAACUUAAGCAUAUCAAUAAGCGGAGGA